RNAcentral lists this unclassified non-coding RNA (811 nucleotides) under Satsuma guandi. RNAcentral describes it as "bacterial SSU rRNA". The stretch from base 400 to 811 matches the Rfam family "Eukaryotic small subunit ribosomal RNA", at positions 1 to 392 of the family's 1831-position model. Lineage: Eukaryota; Metazoa; Mollusca; Gastropoda; Stylommatophora; Camaenidae. The record is from RNAcentral.
CUCCAGCCCCGCGUUUGGCGAUAGCUGUCUCAGAAAGCUGCGCGAGGUGUUCGUGCCAGGCGGGCGCUCUCCCAGCCAAGAAACGGUGGCGAGACAGUUGUUCUUGUGUGCGUGUGUGGCCGCAGCCCGAAGCCGAAGUCGCGGUGUGAGCGGGCAAUCGAGCACUUAUUUGGUACGGUGGCUCGACGCAGUCUCGAAUGGCACGCACUCGCAGCGAGUUUGCGUGUCGGCAGUCAGAAAGCUGGCAUAGCUUUGUUGGUUAGUCCUGGCCGGCGUAGCAAGAGCUUGUCGGAAGGCGUCCAGUGGUUACCAUGUAUAACCAGGCAGCCGGUGGAGGCGCGCUGAGCGAUGACUCCCCGGGCCUGUGUGUACGGGAAAAGUCCGAUUGGGUGCGACAGAUAUCUGGUUGAUCCUGCCAGUAGUCAUAUGCUUGUCUCAAAGAUUAAGCCAUGCAUGUCUAAGUUCACACUGUCCCACGGUGAAACCGCGAAUGGCUCAUUAAAUCAGUCGAGGUUCCUUAGAUGACACGAUCCUACUUGGAUAACUGUGGCAAUUCUAGAGCUAAUACAUGCUUACCAAGCUCCGACCCUCGCGGAAAGAGCGCUUUUAUUAGUUCAAAACCAAUCGUCGUUGCCCUUCGCGGGGCGCGGCGUUCCCAUUGGUGACUCUGGAUAACUUUGUGCUGAUCGCAUGGCCCUACGUGCCGGCGACGCAUCUUUCAAAUGUCUGCCCUAUCAAAUGUCGAUGGUACGUGACAUGCCUACCAUGUUUGUAACGGGUAACGGGGAAUCAGGGUUCGAUUCCAAAAGGG